AACGAACGCUGGCGGCAUGCCUAACACAUGCAAGUCGAACGAGACCUUCGGGUCUAGGGGCGCACGGGGGCGUAACGCGGGGGAACCUGCCCGUAGGUUCGGAAUAACUCACCGAAAGGGGUGCUAAUACCGGAGAAUGUCUUCGGACCAAAGAUUUAUCGCCUUUGGAUGGGCGCGCGUUGGAUUAGCUGGUUGGUAGGGGAAAAGCCUACCAAGGCGACGAUGCAUAGCUGGUCUGAGAGGAUGCUCCGCUACACUGGGACUGAGACACGGCCCAGACUCCUACGGGACGGAGCAGUGGGGAGUAUUGGGCGAUGGGCGAAAGCCUGAUCCAGCAAUGCCGCGGGAGUGAUGAAGGCCUUAGGGUUGUAAAGCUCUUUUAGCCGAGAUGAUAAUGACAGUACCGGGAGAAUAAGCACCGGCUAACUCCGUG
This 433-nucleotide ribosomal RNA is filed under the name uncultured bacterium. Its description in RNAcentral is "partial 16S ribosomal RNA". It matches the Rfam family "Bacterial small subunit ribosomal RNA", at positions 29 to 507 of the family's 1533-position model. The record is from RNAcentral.